GACGAACGCUGGCGGCGUGCUUAACACAUGCAAGUCGAACGGAAAGGCCCUGCUUUUGUGGGGUGCUCGAGUGGCGAACGGGUGAGUAACACGUGAGUAACCUGCCCUUGACUUUGGGAUAACUUCAGGAAACUGGGGCUAAUACCGGAUAGGAGCUCCUGCGGCAUGGUGGGGGUUGGAAAGUUUCGGCGGUUGGGGAUGGACUCGCGGCUUAUCAGCUUGUUGGUGGGGUAGUGGCUUACCAAGGCUUUGACGGGUAGCCGGCCUGAGAGGGUGACCGGCCACAUUGGGACUGAGAUACGGACCAGACUCCUACGGGAGGCAGCAGUGGGGAAUAUUGCCCAAUGGGCGGAAGCCUGAUGCAGCAACGCCGCGUGCGGGAUGACGGCCUUCGGGUUGUAAACCGCUUUCGCCUGUGACGAAGCGUGAGUGACGGUAAUGGGUAAAGAAGCACCGGCUAACUACGUG
This 468-nucleotide ribosomal RNA is filed under the name uncultured bacterium. RNAcentral's name for it is "partial 16S ribosomal RNA". It matches the Rfam family "Bacterial small subunit ribosomal RNA", at positions 28 to 507 of the family's 1533-position model. The record is from RNAcentral.